AAUCCCGUGAACCAUCGAGUCUUUGAACGCAAGUUGCGCCCGAAGCCUUCGGGCCGAGGGCACGCCUGCCUGGGCGUCACGCAUCGCGUCGCCCCCUCCCCUCCCGCUCCGCGGAGCGGGGGGCGGAGACUGGCCUCCCGUGCGCUCCCGUCGCGCGGCCGGCCC
RNAcentral lists this ribosomal RNA (165 nucleotides) under Rhinacanthus angulicaulis. RNAcentral describes it as "5.8S ribosomal RNA". The stretch from base 1 to 79 matches the Rfam family "5.8S ribosomal RNA", at positions 78 to 154 of the family's 154-position model. The record is from RNAcentral. Lineage: Eukaryota; Viridiplantae; Streptophyta; Magnoliopsida; Lamiales; Acanthaceae.